GCAUGUCUGCACAGACCUCAAAUGAUGGAGCAUUCUCCUCCCCUCCUCUGGCUGUCCUUUGUCAGACUCUACAAUCAUGGCUAGAAGAAAAAAGUUGACUUAACCGUUCUUUGUUGAAAUUCGGGACUAUGUUAGAGAUACCAGGUCUCAAUCAAAUACAGCCUUCAAUAAAAGACUCUUACGUAACCAGAUCCUAUGAGCAGAGAGCCAUCGUGCCUCCAACUUAGUUUCUUCAGAUUGGCUGGUUUUGGUGCUCAACUUUUGACUUUACCCACCUUCCUGACAAAGUGUUGAGGACCACUAGGUAAGCAUGCUAUCUUCAACGUUAAAAAAAAAAAUCAUGAUUGAAGGCAGCUGCACUUCAUAUAUCAAGGAGCAUUGAAUAUAACUAACUCUAAAACUU
Homo sapiens (human) is the source of this 403-nucleotide long non-coding RNA. NCBI's taxonomy places the organism in Eukaryota, Metazoa, Chordata, Mammalia, Primates, Hominidae. The record is from Ensembl.